UAUGGUGAUAACAGAGUCGCAUGUCCAGA
RNAcentral lists this non-coding RNA (29 nucleotides) under Mus musculus (house mouse). The record is from RNAcentral. Lineage: Eukaryota; Metazoa; Chordata; Mammalia; Rodentia; Muridae.